RNAcentral lists this ribosomal RNA (467 nucleotides) under uncultured bacterium. RNAcentral's name for it is "partial 16S ribosomal RNA". It matches the Rfam family "Bacterial small subunit ribosomal RNA", at positions 28 to 506 of the family's 1533-position model. The record is from RNAcentral.
GACGAACGCUGGCGGCGUGCUUAACACAUGCAAGUCGAACGGAAAGGCCCUGCUUUUGUGGGGUGCUCGAGUGGCGAACGGGUGAGUAACACGUGAGUAACCUGCCCUUGACUUUGGGAUAACUUCAGGAAACUGGGGCUAAUACCGGAUAGGAGCUCCUGCUGCAUGGUGGGGGUUGGAAAGUUUCGGCGGUCGGGGAUGGACUCGCGGCUUAUCAGCUUGUUGGUGGGGUAGUGGCUUACCAAGGCUUUGACGGGUAGCCGGCCUGAGAGGGUGACCGGCCACAUUGGGACUGAGAUACGGCCCAGACUCCUACGGGAGGCAGCAGUGGGGAAUAUUGCACAAUGGGCGGAAGCCUGAUGCAGCAACGCCGCGUGCGGGAUGACGGCCUUCGGGUUGUAAACCGCUUUCGCCUGUGACGAAGCGUGAGUGACGGUAAUGGGUAAAGAAGCACCGGCUAACUACGU